GCUCCAGCCACUCUGGUAGCCUCACUGGCUGUUUUCUCUCCUAACAGCCAGUGUGUGUCUUUGCCUGUGUUUGCUUCAUCAUUCACAAAGGCUGCAGCUGAACCCUGAUUUCAGAGGUGCUACUGUGCAUGAACCAAGUUUGUUAUCCUCAUCAUAGGUUUACAAGGUAAGUUGGAUUCAUCGUGUUUGAAGGUAAAGAAAGUACAUGAUGUGUCUGCAGUGUCAAGUCAUUUUUCAUGGGAUAAAUAUUGGUAAAAUCUUAUAACUUCUGUUUGCUGUAGAUGCGAAAAACUAAGCCUACAGCAAACAAACUAAUGUUCAGCAGAUAUGUUUAUCAUGUACAUCACUUUUGUCAGGCAUUAAGCUUACAUGCCAUCACCCCAUUAAAAUAAUGGCCCGAGUCAUUUUUUGACGAAAAUGAGUUUUGGUCCUAAAUCAUCUUUUGAUAAUGCUGGCCAUCCCUGAUAAGUCGCCUAAAUCCUUAGUUCAAAGGAUCAUGCCAUCAUCCUUUAUGAACAAACAGAGCAACUGUGGAGGCCGAGUGAGGGCACGCUGUGGAGGGUGAGCAGGAAGGGACAAGUGAGGCCUGGCCAAACCCAGGACCGAGAGGAAGGUUUCCAGCAGCAGAGAUGAUAAUACUCAAGGGGAUCAGUUUAGGUUACCUUAUAGUUAUAUUUCUGCUGUCCUUUUUGAGCUGCUGUAACAACAGAAUUUGUUACCCCUAAGCAGAUCAAUAAUGUAUAUAUUAUCUCUUAUCUUACGUAGUGUUGUUGUUAUGUAUGCAUGCAUGACUGAUUUACACUGAACAUUUUUUUAUGAGCUGAACUCAAAGAUCUAAGACUUUUUCUAUGUUCACAAUAGACCUAUUUCUCUCAAAUAUUGUUGACAAAUUUGUCUAAAUCUGUGUUAGUGUACAUUUCUUCUCUGCUGACAUAAUCCAUUCACUUCACAGGUGUGGAAUAUCAAGAUGCUGAUUAAACAGCAUGAUUAUUGCACAGGUGUGCCUUAAGGUCCUUACACACCGGGACUGAUGCAAAUCUACGACGCGAAAUAUUCGGAAGCGAAUUUCGACGCGCCUGACUAUACACAUCAAGCCCGAUGCGAUUUUGCGACCUUCCGGGGGGUAAAAAGGCGCGUCCCAGGUGGAAGCUGGAAGACUGACACAACACCAGACUGACUGUUUUUCAGUUCUGAUUAGACACUAGUGUUGAGAUGGCUGUCUGUUACAAUAGCAUGUACUGAAUCGGGGCCUGUACCAGAUAAGCACAUGAAUCUAUAAUCCGUAAACGUAAGGUAACAACCGAGACCUAAUGGUGCUGUGACAGCAAUGCGAUUGAGUUUGAGACAGUGAAAAUACAUAUGGUAUGUUGUAUCUGAACAGGUUAGCUUACAAGCUAAAGUUACCUAGCACAGAUGAAAGUUAAAACAAAGACGUUUAGCAAACUGUUAAAGCACACAAACCAUCGUCAUAUCAGAAAUCCGACGCUAUGACUCUAAACAAGUUGUCCUUCAGGUCAUUAUCUUUUUAAUGUUUGUGUCUUUUAUCAAAAAGCACUCUGUUCUCCGACACCUCAAUAAUUAGCUGGUCAGCCAUGUUGGAUAUACUGGUGAAUCUGACGUCGUAACAACAUGAAAUCUGAUUGGUCAGAAGUGGACACACAGUAUGCAAAACUUCAGAAAAAUUGACCUUGAUACGAAAAAAUAAAUGCCUGAAUACCACACGUUCCCAGUGUGAAAGGACAUUUAGACUGGCCACAAUAAAGGCCACUGUAAAAGGUGCAGUUUUACUGUAUUGGGGGAGUCCGGGGGGUAAGAAAAAGUCAGUAUCUGGUGUGACCACCAUUUGCCUUCCGCAGUGCAACAUAUCUCCAUUGCAUAUAGUUGAUUAGGUUGUUGAUAGUGGCCUGUGGGAUGUUGGUCCACAUAAUGCACUAUAACUAUGUAAUUAAAUUUAACUAUACUUCAUGUUUAUUUCUGUUUCUAUUCUAUCUCCGCUUUAAUGAUAAUGCCCUUCUAAAAUGUUUUCAUGGUGGUUAAGUCUUGCACUUCUGUGCAUAAACGAGUGAUAUAAAUAAACUUGCCUUGGGUUACCUCGCUUCUUCUUUGCCUGAAGCCAGGGUCCAGGCAAUGUACUGUAUGAGUCGUUGGCCUCCCACACCAUCACCACGCUGUCUGCACCCGAGGAGGAUCAAGAAUUUCUUCAUUACCCCAAAGAGCACCUUAUAAUAUUGCCAGGAAAAAUUAUAAGAAAGUGGCAACAAUGUGCAUUAAAACAUCAGAUGAAAUACAAUCAUUCACAACCGCCGUAGUCUUUUUAAAAGGUGGGUGGUAGAGGGAGCACAUAAGGUUUCAAGUCUAUCGGUAGUGUCUCCAUGACAAACUGCAGCCAGACUGAAGACCUUAAAAACAGAGCAAUUAAGGCCAGCAGAGCUAGACUGGACCUCCUCCAAGGUCUUUGUCCCAUACAAGUCAGUAAAAGUAGAUUCCGUCUGUGCUGCUUUUAAGAGUAAAUAAGGACAAACUCAACUGCACAUGAACAAAUUAUUGUCUCAAACAUCACAACUCUUCAGGUUAUAGACCCACUCUGAUAAAAAUCAUGUUUUUCUUGUUGUCUACAUGUUCAUAUGGCAUUUUUCUGAUGCUACAGAACAUAUAACGAGAAAACUAAGUGCAAAAUUGCAUUUCUGCAUUAAAAUGAGCCUUAUCAAAUCUCUGCUGACUCACGUCCUACAGGUUUUGGCAGAUUAUAAAGGCAUUACUCUAACUUGUGCUUUUUUUUUUCUUGCAGGUCUAAUGGAAAAUAAAAACCUGUAUAAGAUUGGCUUGUACUUGUUGGGUUAUUGAACAGUGCAGACAGUUCCUUGGAAAGCCUGGAAAAGAGAAAGCAUGGUAGAGGCAGUGUGACAGGGCUGAGGCAGUGUGACAAUGGCUGCGCUCAUAACAACCUCAAAAACAGAGAUGACAAAUAAACAAAGCAGAGGGCGGAAGAGGAACCCAUGUAAGCACAGGAACACAGCUCACCUCGGCUCGUUCAGCGGCUCUGUGUCCUCUCUCCCAUUAUUUGCCAAGUGGGAUCCAUGUAUUCCCAGAGCCCAUCAGCUAGCUUUUGUCAACAGACAUGGUGGCUGCCUCUGUGUUGAUGGAGAGAGCUAAUGCUGUUCUGUAGUGUUCUCACACCCUCCCCGUUCCUGCUAAAAAGACCUCAGUGAUUACUUAGUGAUCGCAUGGCAGGGCAAAAGCUGGAGCAGUGACAGUGGCCUGAUCUCAAGACUUCACCUUAAAAGCAUAAGCACUGAACGCUCAAACACAUUAAUGACAGGUGUGCACAGCAUGAGUAUCUAAGCAAGGGAAUGAGUACACUUCCUGGUUCUACACAGCCUUCUCCAACACUUAUGUCUCAUCUCUUUGUGAAGCAUAAACCAAAAACUGCUUUAAUGUUUACAGCAGUUAAGGCUCUAAAAAUGACUAAAUACAGUUUUGUUUGUCCCACUGGUGAGCCAUAUUCUCUGUUAAAACAAUAAACAUUCUUCUGGGACAAAAGCAAUUACUGAAA
This is a non-coding RNA of Xyrichtys novacula (pearly razorfish), 3553 nucleotides long. NCBI's taxonomy places the organism in Eukaryota, Metazoa, Chordata, Actinopteri, Labriformes, Labridae. The record is from the annotation of a GenBank genome assembly.